Loxodonta africana (African savanna elephant) is the source of this 66-nucleotide transfer RNA. It matches the Rfam family "tRNA". Rfam says of the family: Transfer RNA (tRNA) molecules are approximately 80 nucleotides in length. Their secondary structure includes four short double-helical elements and three loops (D, anti-codon, and T loops). Further hydrogen bonds mediate the characteristic L-shaped molecular structure. tRNAs have two regions of fundamental functional importance: the anti-codon, which is responsible for specific mRNA codon recognition, and the 3' end, to which the tRNAs corresponding amino acid is attached (by aminoacyl-tRNA synthetases). tRNAs cope with the degeneracy of the genetic code in two manners: having more than one tRNA (with a specific anti-codon) for a particular amino acid; and 'wobble' base-pairing, i.e. permitting non-standard base-pairing at the 3rd anti-codon position. Lineage: Eukaryota; Metazoa; Chordata; Mammalia; Proboscidea; Elephantidae. The record is from Rfam.
GGUGGUGCAGUGGUUAAGUGUUUGGCUGCUAACCAAAAGUUGGUGGUUCAAACCCACCAGCCACUU